GACGAACGCUGGCGGCGUGCUUAACACAUGCAAGUCGAACGGAAAGGCCCCUUUGGGGGUACUCGAGUGGCGAACGGGUGCGUAACACGUGAGUAACCUGCCCUUGACUUCGGGAUAACUUCAGGAAACUGGGGCUAAUACCGGAUAGGAAUCCUUGCUGCAUGGUGGGGGUUGGAAAGCUUCGGCGGUUUUGGAUGGACUCGCGGCUUAUCAGCUUGUUGGUGGGGUAGUGGCUUACCAAGGCUUUGACGGGUAGCCGGCCUGAGAGGGCGACCGGCCACAUUGGGACUGAGAUACGGCCCAGACUCCUACGGGAGGCAGCGGUGGGGAAUAUUGCACAAUGGGCGGAAGCCUGAUGCAGCAACGCCGCGUGCGGGAUGACGGCCUUCGGGUUGUAAACCGCUUUCAGCAGGGGCGAAGCUUGUGGUGACGGUACCUGCAGAAGAAGCACCGGCUAACUACGUG
This 465-nucleotide ribosomal RNA is filed under the name uncultured bacterium. Its description in RNAcentral is "partial 16S ribosomal RNA". It matches the Rfam family "Bacterial small subunit ribosomal RNA", at positions 28 to 507 of the family's 1533-position model. The record is from RNAcentral.